RNAcentral lists this ribosomal RNA (253 nucleotides) under uncultured bacterium. RNAcentral describes it as "partial 16S ribosomal RNA". It matches the Rfam family "Bacterial small subunit ribosomal RNA", at positions 524 to 776 of the family's 1533-position model. The record is from RNAcentral.
GACAGAGGGUGCAAACGUUGUUCGGAAUUACUGGGCGUAAAGCGCGUUUAGGCGGCUUGGCAAGUCGGGUGUGAAAGCCCUGGGCUCAACCUAGGAAGUGCACUCGAAACUGCUUCGCUUGAGUGUCGGAGAGGAAAGCGGAAUUCUCGGUGUAGAGGUGAAAUGCGUAGAUAUCUGGAGGAACACCGGUGGCGAAGGCGGCAUCCUGGACCAAUUCUGACGCUGAGGAGCGAAAGCCAGGGGAGCAAACGGG